UGUCACAGCUCAUUAGUUUGGGACUUGAAUCUCUGCUGGUCUCGGCUUUUCUGGAGCAUCCGUGAGCGUUAAUAGCCCUCUGAAAUAUUUAUGAAACAUUUGUCGAGCGUCGUCGAGUGGGCUGAAGACUUCAACGGAUAUGUUUGAUGAAGCGUUCUUCAAGACAGGAAAUCUAUUAAUGACAAACCGGACAAAUUAAAGGCGCCCGUUCUCUCCGCCUCAUAUGUUUGCCAAUGUCAAAGGAAAUUAAAAUCAUCAAGCCGCACGACCCAUCGAUGAUGAUGAAUUUAUGCGAAAAUUUAAUUAUUCCCCAACAAACAGAGCAGAGGCAAAGAGGAAAAAGCGAAAAAAUAUCGAUGAAAAAUUAAUGUCGAUUGGGAGCCGAUACCAAUAAAUCAAUGCACAAACAAAAGACACUGAGGAGCUGGGGAAGCAGUCGCCACAAAGUUUAAUGAAGAAUGAUAAAAAAAAAACGAGAAAAAGUAAUGACGUUAAAUGAAAAUAUUAAAAGUGGCAAGAGGCUAAAUAUGGCCAAGUGAUUUAAA
Molecule: long non-coding RNA, 545 nt
Organism: Drosophila ficusphila
Lineage: Eukaryota; Metazoa; Arthropoda; Insecta; Diptera; Drosophilidae
Exons: 2
Source: RefSeq, a predicted model, not a curated record